This 72-nucleotide transfer RNA is filed under the name Camelus bactrianus (Bactrian camel). It matches the Rfam family "tRNA". From Rfam's summary of the family: Transfer RNA (tRNA) molecules are approximately 80 nucleotides in length. Their secondary structure includes four short double-helical elements and three loops (D, anti-codon, and T loops). RNAcentral also lists the same sequence under 2 other names. Lineage: Eukaryota; Metazoa; Chordata; Mammalia; Artiodactyla; Camelidae. The record is from Rfam by way of RNAcentral.
GAGGGUAUAGCUCGGUGGUAGAGUGUGUGCUUAGCAUGCACAAGGUCCUGGGUUCAAUCCCCUGUACCUCCA